Molecule: transfer RNA, 74 nt
Filed under: Hirsutella minnesotensis 3608
Lineage: Eukaryota; Fungi; Ascomycota; Sordariomycetes; Hypocreales; Ophiocordycipitaceae
Description: tRNA-Ile (AAT) (tRNA-Ile-AAT-3-1)
Rfam family: tRNA
About the family: Transfer RNA (tRNA) molecules are approximately 80 nucleotides in length. Their secondary structure includes four short double-helical elements and three loops (D, anti-codon, and T loops).
Source: RNAcentral
GGUCCCAUAGCUCAGUAGGUUAGAGCGUCGUACUAAUAAUGCGAAGGUCUCAGGUUCGAGCCCUGGUGGGACCA